CUGCUGAAGGAGAGUGCAUAAGUAAAUUGCUAUACUAAUAAAUCCCUCAUAAGCACGAUGUCAAAAUAUUGUACUUAUAUUCUAUCAUAAGGGAAAAGUAACCAAUGACAAUAGUUUACUGAUACAACCCUUUAUUCAAACAUGAUGUAUAAGCUCUAUCGUGGCAACCAAGUAUACUAUGAUGAAAUAGGUAACUGUCAAGUGUACUACAUGUCUCAACUCUAUGCUAUAUGCAUGUAAAUGUACUCCAACUACUAAGCCUAACUAGUAGGGAGUGUUCAUUCUCAAACUGUGUCGAUUUCCAUUUCCAAUUAGGGACCUACCCAAGGUAGUCCAGCUUGUGCCGCCUAAGUGCCUGUGGUAGCCCGACAUUCCUACUCAUGGAAUGUGUCUGUCCCACUCGACCCCGUAGGCUUCUCGAUACCGCACGAGCGAACAUAAGUCGCAUAGGCUAACUCCGGAGUGCCGGCUUGUAGGGAGCGACCCUCACAAGCAUGUGCGAAUGAGCACAAAUGGCAAGCAAGCAAAGUCCAAGUCUCAAAUAUCAAAUUCUCAUGUCUCUAACAUGGUAAGGUCACUAGCAUCCCGAAGAUCUAGUUUAAAUCACAAUGUGAAGUUUCAACAUUUGCUACGCCUAGUGCCCCUUAAUGACACUUAGGCAAUUUGGUGUCCAACAUGUAUCCCAAGUCCCUCGAUGGCCCUAUCCACUAGGUUCACACAUGUCCCGAGCUCAAUGCCGCUUGAUGACAUUAGCUCUCUAAUUCACAUACCUUCUAAAUGACAAUCUUGUCAAUUUUCAUGUCACAAGUAAAUGUAGGUUUACAUGCAUGAAUCCGAACUCAUUUAUACUAUAGAAGCAUGAUACCACGUCUCAUAUAGAAUGCUAAAUGCAACUAUGGCCUAAUAAGCUACUCUCUACUACAUAGAGGUCCAAAAUUUCAUUAUAUAUAACAUAGGCCUUUUAAGCAUUCUAAAAUUCACAAUAAAUACAUAUAACAAGAAUAUGCAUGCUUUUUCAUUUAACAACACUUAAUUAAGCACAAAUGAGAAUUUCUCAUUGUGUGGCUAGGUCAAACCCACCGAACCGUCGCGUAGGGUCUCGUUUCGCCGAACCAAGUUGUCCCCGAGUCUCAAAAUACCCUAAAAGUAAUCAGCGAAGAGAUACGAGGGCAUUACGACCAUCCUAUAAUAUCAAAUAUUAACCUAGAAGCAAAAAGGGCCAAAACUCACCUCAAGUGAAGAAAUCUCUUCCAAAGCUCCAAAAGAGAGCUAGAACCCUUCCAAUCCAAGCCCUAGGAAGGUUCUAAACCAAUCAAUUUAGCCCCAAAAGCCCUAGAUCAAAAAUGCCCAAAAUCAAGCCCUAAAUCUCAUUUCUAGGGUUUAAACAAGCAAAAAGCUCCAAAACUAAGAUCUAGAGGGAGGAACCUUGCCACAUACCUCUAGGAUGCUCCAAUCCAAGCUCAAAAUCUUCUAGGGUUGAAGAUUGAUCCACCACAAAGCUCCAAAAGCAAGCUCCAAGCCUCCAAAGGUGGGAAAUGAGGAAGAAGAUGGUGCUCCAAGCAAGCCCUUCUCCUCUUCUUCCUCUUCUUCUCCUUCUUCUCCUUCUCCCUCUCUUCUUCUCUCUCUAGAAUGCAAAGGGUUAAGAGAAAAUGAGAGUGAGAGGGGAGGAGAGGCUGCCUAUAGCCUCUAAGGUAACAAAAUCCAGUUAGGCCCCUCAAAAACCCAAAAUUACAUCAGCCCGGACUGGGCAGUUUUCGCCCAGAGGGACCGGUCUCUCCCCAGCAGGGACCGGUCUCUCGCUGCGAACCCGAAAAACCAGCAUUCGGGAACCGGUCUCUUCCCUGCGCGGGACCGGUCUCUCACUGCGAGAACGCGCUCGGGGACCGGUCUCGCCUGCCAGGGACCGGUUGCCUCAGGCUGCCUCAGCACUGUUCACUGGGGGAACCGGUCUCUCCUUCCAGGGACCGGUCUCCGAGAGUAAAAACUCUCAGGACUUGUCCAAAGUUCCCGAUUUCGAACUUUUCGGGUCGGGAAACAUUUUACAACCCUCCACCAAGUGUGGAAAAGCUCGAAAUACAUUCAAACACUCGAACCUCGCAAUUUGCAAAGGUCCAGUGUGUUACAUAUAUCUACAUGUUCACAAGUAAUAUCAUGAUUUACUUUAUACAAAUAUGAAAGUGGUACUUUGUCAUGACUACAAUGCAUAUAAGGAUGUAAUAAACAACAUCUCCUAGCAUACUACAUGUAUGUAUGAAUACCCAAAUGUCCACAACUAUGCUAGAGGUAAGUCCAUGUAAUCCUACUACCACUCUCUGUCUAGUAGUGAUCAUAAUAAACUCAACACCGUGUCGAUUUUCAUUUCCAAUUAAGGACCUACCAAAGGAAGUCCAGCUUGUGCCGCCUAAGUGCCUGUGGUAGCCCGACAUCCCUACUCUUGGAAUGUGUCUGUCCCACUCGACCCCGUAGGCUUCUCAAUACCGCANNNNNNNNNNNNNNNNNNNNNNNNNGAUGCUAACCAAAUCUCUAGUCAUGAUGUCACCAAGUUUACUAUUGUCUUGGUCCUUUACAGUUUCAUACAUUCAUAGGGUUCUAUGUCCACAUUCUAAUGUUCAUGUGUAAGAUCUGGUCCUCUUUUAGAGGAUUCAAUAACUGACAAUACUACAAUUUAACUUCUAACUAGCUCUUUAUGCUAGUUUCACAAUUUCACUGUUUAUCUCACAAUGCUAUCCAAUUCUCAAGUAGAAUGUCACCAAGUUCACUAUUGUCAAAGUCCAUGCAUUCAUAGGGUUCUAUGUCCACAAUCUAGGUUCACAAAUUCUUAUUGUUGAUAGGAAUUCACAUUUUCACUCGCUCAAUGCCAAACACCCUAUAAUGCAUGACUACAAAUAUAAAUAUGCUCAACGGAGAAUUAUAGACAUAAAAGGUGAUUCAAAGAGUUCGGAUAGCACCACCCACCUGUAGUGGUGUCAAUCAACUAGAAUCCACGUCUCAGAAAGCGUCGACGACUAUCUCUCGCGACUCCGUGCAAAUAGGACUAAAGCGGUCUCUAUCGUAAUUAGCGUGUCGUCGACCUGUCGGAAAGUCAAUUUAGACUCUUGGGCAUGUUUCCAUUUCACUUAUAAAGGAUUAGAAAAGAUUAAACUAGAGUCAUUACACAUAAUUGACAAGUUAGCAUUUCAAUGCUAUAUAAAGCGGCAAUUAUAGCAAAAAACCUUCUUUUGGCGAUAUCUUUGCGUAGGUUCGUUGGAUUGCCGAACCGACUUCGCCAACGCGUUUCUUUUACCCUCAAUUUGGUUUACACGCGGUCAAUUUCGCAUUAGGACUCUUAUUUUGCAAAAGUGCAUUGUCGGGGUCAAUUUUCAAUACAAACCCAUUUCAAUGCAAUUUCACUUUCAAUGCAAUUGCAAUUUCACAAUUACAUCGAGUUCUUUCAACUCGUUCUUUCUCGUUUUCUUUCUCUCAUUUUUCCUCUCUUCUAUUUCUUUUUUCUUUCUUCCAUUCUUUUCCUCAUUCUUUCCUUUCUCUUUUCUUACUUUCUUUCUUUCUUUCUUUCUUUCAUUCUUUCUUUCCUUUCUUUCCUGCAGGUUUUUCUUGUCUUUCUUUAUUGCUUUCUUUCCUUCUUUUCUUCCUUUGCAGGACAGCUUCUACUGCUGUUACUGCUGCUGCUACUGAAGCUUCUGCUGCUGCUAAUAGCAGCUGCGCAAGCUGCUGCUGCUGACUGCUUGCCCUGCUGCUGCUGCUGCCUGCUUGCCCUGCUGCUGCUGACUGCUCAGCAGCAGGCUGAGCUGCUGUUGCUACUCAGCUCAGCAGGGCUGAGCUGCUGAUGCUGCUGCUGCUAUUAUUGCAGCUGCUGCUGAUGCUAACUGCUGGUGCCACUGCUGCUGCUGCUAGCUGCAGCUGCUGCUGCUGUUUGCUGCUGCUGCUGCUGAGCAAGCUGCUACUGCAGCUUGCUGCUGCUGCUAAUCCUGCUGCUGAUCCAGCAGCUGCUGCUGCUGGCUGCUCCAGCAGCAGCUGCUGAUGCUACUGCUGCUGCUGCUGUUCCUGCUCAACAGCUAGCUGAGCUGCUGCUGCUGUUGAUAGGGAAGAAGAGUGAGGGGGAAAAAGAUAGCAAGGAGAGAGGGAGAGAGAUUAAAUUUCUUACCUUUUUCUUCUUCCUUUUCUUCUCCUGCUACUCUUUUCUCUUCUUUUCUUCUUCUCUCUCUUUUCUCCUUCUCUCUCUCUCUACGUAUGGAACCAGGGUGAAGCAGAGGGGAUAAGAAUGAAGGCCUCCCUGCUGCCAGAUUAGUGGAAAUCCACUAACUUAGUGAUAAAUGACCAUAAUGCCCCUCGACUUAAGUUCGUUUAGUCGCACGGAUUAGAUACCUUUUGCAGGCUCUUCCGACAGUCCGAUUGAGCUCAAAUUUGGCAGGAAUGUUCGUUUUUACUUGACAAGUCCACUGAAAUUUUAACAUUUCAGUUUCGACCCCGUUUGGUCACUGCGAACUGUCCUGAACUGUAAUCUUUAUCAGAUAACUUCCAGAUGCUAUUUCUCUCUCUACAGGUGUCAGAAAAAUCUGAAACUUCAAAACUAGCCUUAUAAUAAUGUUCCUGACAUCUCUGCCAAUUUUUGUAAUUUUCUGACACUGUGCAUUUUCUGCUAAUUUUCUCAGUCCCGUUUCUUACAGAAAAUUCUAAAAUUUCCGUUUUCGCUCCGAUUUCACCCAAACACUUCUAAAAUACACCAAGGGACCUUCCCAAGCUACCAAUUUAAUUUGGAAGCAAUUUCUUUUCAUUUUGACAUUAUUUGAGCCGAAUUAGAAAUAGAAUCGGCUCUAAUUCCAUUACAUGACCUUUUUGCACUACCACUUCGCACUGAGCUCUUCAAAACCCUGUGAAAACACACCCUUGGCUUUACCAAAACUUCACAAUUGAUUCGGAGGUACCACAAUUUAUCCUUACACCUUACUUUAAUUCUUUUAAUCAAAGUUAGCGUCGGAAUUUCGAAAAUUCUCUUUACUCUCUUUACAUUUCGUUUCGCGCCCAAUUUGCGCCGAAACACUUAUUUCUCUUUGGAACUCAUUCCAACGCAUCACAAAUCCCUCGGGGAUGAUGUCCAACUAGCUCAAUCCUCACUUUGACCCUCUAGGUCAAAGUUGACAUUGCAGCUUCAGGAUGCCAUAUAUUACACACAAGCAUGUGCGAAUGAGCACAAAUGGCAAGCAAGCAUAGUCAACGUCUCAAAUACCCAAUCAUCAUGUCUCUAACAUGGCAAUAUUCACUAGCAUCUCGAAGAUCUAGUUCUAGGUCACAAUGUGAAAUUUUAAUAUUCACUAAGUCUAGUGCCCCUUUAUGACACUUAGACACUUCGAUGAACAAGCACACUCCAACUCUCUCAAUGGCACUAUCCACUAAAUUCACACAUAACCCNAACUCAUAAUGUCCAUACCGUGUUCUAAAAGCCGUCUUCGAUACAUCCUCAGGUCUGAUCCUCAACUGGUGAUAUCCCGACUGCAAGUCAAUCUUGGAAUAUACACAAGAUCCCUGGAGUUGAUCAAAUAGAUCAUCAAUCCUCGGCAAUGGAUACUUGUUCUUGAUCGUGACUUUGUUAAGUUCACGAUAAUCCACACACAAGCGAAGUGAUCCAUCCUUUUUCUUCACAAAUAGGACCGGUGCUCCCCAAGGUGACACACUCGGUCUCACGAAACCUUUAUCCAGAAGAUCCUGCAACUGUGCCUUCAAUUCCCUCAACUCUGCUUGUGCCAUCCUAUAGGGUGCCUUUGAGAUCGGAGUAGUCCCGGGAACGAGAUCUACCACAAACUCAAUCUCCCUAUCAGGUGGCAUGCCUGGAAGCUCCGCUGGGAACACGUCUCCAAACUCUCGCACUACGGGGAUAUCCUCAAUCCUAGGGGUGUCCGCAUCGCCACGCAACACGACAGUAGCCAAAUAAGCUACGCAGCCUCUACUAAUCAAUUGCCUAGCUCGAGAGAAGUUAAUCGUCAUCGCAAACAGCGAACUCUGGCAUCCUCGGUACACAACCUCCGCCUGCCCCGGCUCUCUAAACGUCACCGUUCGAUCCUUGCAAUCGAUAGUGGCGUAGUACUUAGUUAACCAGUCCAUGCCCAAUACUACAUCAAACUUCCCGAGUUUAUGCAACACUAACAAGUCUACGGGCAUGAUCCAAUCUCCAACCCGAAUAGGGCAACUGGGGCAAAACUCCCGAAUGUCCAAAGAAUGAUCGGGUACAACAACUCGGCCCGGAUGUAGCAAAGAUACAUGUGGGAUGUCAUGCAGCUCGGCAAACAGCCGAUCAAUGAAUGAAUGCGAUGCACCGGUAUCAAACAAAGCUCUAGCUCGAGUACCAUAAAGUAAAAUGAUACCUGCGACCACAUUCUCGGCUGCUGCAGCCUCCUCAGUCUGGGCCGCGUACAUGCGCCCGCUCGGGGCCUGUCGUGACCCCUCCGCCUGUCGCAGAACUGGCGGCCGUCCUGCCUGGUGAUGCGCAGAAGAUGUCCCCUGGCUGGGACCUGGCGAAGCUGGUGCAGAUGCCGAAGAUGGCGCUGGCAAUGGACUCCUCGGGCAGUCCGACUGGAAGUGGCCCUCCUGGCCAUACAAGAAGCACCUGCCCCGGCUGCGCGAACACUGUCGCGGGUAAUGAGGACCGCCACAGAUCACGCAGCGGGGGGCCUGACGACGAUCGGGUCCUCCUCGCUGAGUGGACUGGCCACGUCCUCGCGACUGGCUCCGGCUCCUGGGGUGCCUCGGCGGCCUCCGUGAGUGCGUCUGACUCGCACCCUCAGCCGCGGGCCUCUUGCCCUUCCCUUUCUCCAAGCUCUCGCGACGCUCCUGCAGAUCCGCCGCUCCGGCCUCCACUAUCAAAGCUCGAUCUACAACCUCCCGGUAGGUCUGGAGGUUGGAAGACUGCACCAACCGGAAAAUAGAAGGCCGCAAACCGCGCUCAAAGAUGCGGGCCUUGUCCUCGUCAUCCCGCACCACAAAAGGCACACAAUGGAGUAAUCGAGAAAACUCCCUCUCGUACUCGGCCACAGACCGCUCAUCCUGGCGCAAGCUGCGCAAGUCCUGCUCCAUCUUCCUCUUGACGCUGGUCGGGAAGUAGUGCGCCAGAAGAAGCUCCUUGAAUCGCGUCCAUGUGACCGCUGUCAAGUCGGUGCUGGGAUUGUCCUGGAUAUCCAACCACCAAUGGUAGGCCUCGCCGUCCAGAAAGUGAGUGGUGAGCCAAACCCUGUCCCUCUCCUCAACGAAGGUAUCUCGAAAUAGCUUCUCUAUAUGCAUCAACCACUUCUCAACAAUCCAGUGGUCGACGUUCUCGCCAUUAAACAUCCUCGGGCUGCACCUCCUGAACUCACUGAGGCGCUCCAUGAGCCGAUCCCGCUCGGCUCCCUCGGCCAUCACGGGGAAUGCCGCCCCCCUCGCCGGUCUCUUAACUGGGGGUACCGCAGCCACCUCUUCCCGAGGUGUGGUCGCCGGUGCCGCACGGGAAGAACUAGGCGCGGGGGACUGCGCCCUCGGUGCGACGUCCACCACGGGUGCUGGCGGUGUGGGACCCUGGGUCUCCCUCGAAGCUGCCGCUUGCUGAAGUAGGAGGUCCUCCAGAUGUUUCAUCGGCGCCUCCUGCCACUGAGCCACCUCAGCCUGUCGCUGCGCUGCUGCCGUCUGCUGCGCCAACAGAUCAGUGAAAACCGCAAGCUGGGCCCUCAAGUCACGGACCUCACUAGAUCUGGAAGUAGCGGAGGUCUCAACCUCCUCGGGAUGUGCCGCAUCAUCCGCCCCGGCAGACUGGGAGCGUGCAAUCGGCAUCGUCACUACAAAACAUAAAAGCGCAAGUUAAUAACCCACGCUAUCGCUUCCCCGCUCGAAAUAAUGAAACCCAAAAUCAUGCGAAAGUAAGGAAGUGUCCUUCACUACUAACUCCCGAUGUUACGUUGUCGGCCGCCAACAUAACCCUCCGCGAAGUUAGAAGCCAUACACUCCGAUCAAACUCUAAGUUUUUAGAGUUGUCAUAAACCCAACCAUAAUACUUUCGCUCACAAGUCAAUUAGACCUCGUCUCUCACGAGCCUAAUUCCUAUAGUCCAACCGGCCUAAGGUUCGCUAGGUUCACUAAGACUCAACCCUAGGCUCUGAUACCAAAUUAAUCUGUCACGCCUCGGGACCGACGGAGGCCCUCCCGGUGGCGUGCCCAGACCCGCCAUAUGUCUAUACAUAUAAGGCGUCUACAACAAAGCGGGAGUAAAAGCGAGAAAUAGAACGAAUAGAAUAAUAACAACUAACGAUAUCAGAGCGAGUAAGGUUCUAUCAUCUAAACCAGAGUAAAAGAAAUAUAACUAAACAAAGUAAGUAAAGCAUAAGGUGAUACAAUACUAACACCUCAAAGAAAUACCAAGAUCCAAAAGAAAGGUGGUCUCUAUACAUAUACGGGUACAACUCACAACCUCUCACAACAUAAAAACAUCGAGAGGUAGACCACCUAGCGACUCGUCACUCGCUGAAGAGCUAGCUCGAAGACACGCCCUUUCCUCGAUCCUUAGCCUCUCCCGGCGUGGAAGGCUCUGAAAGAAAACAUAAAACAGAGGGCGUUAGAACUAUAAUUUAUAGUUCCCAGUGGGCAAUUACUGACCUCAGCUCAAUGCACCACUAGGCCCCAAAAGAAAGGGUAAGUCUAACAAUAAUAGUAAAGAGUAAAUUGCAUAUAAGAAAGCAUAAUUAAGAUGCUAAGCUACGGCUUGCAAUUAAACAUGGCAUUUAUAAUGCGACUUUAUCUUGUCAUGGAUGAUAUAUAUCUACAUGUUCACAAGUAAUAUCAUGAUUUACUUUAUACAAAUAUGAAAGUGGUACUUUGUCAUGACUACAAUGCAUAUAAGGAUGCAAUAAACAACAUUUCCUAGCAUACCACAUGUAUGUAUGAGUACCCAAAUGUCCACAACUAUGCUAGAGGUAAGUCCAUGUAAUCCUACUACCACUCUCUGUCUAGUAGUGAUCAUAAUAAACUCAACACCGUGUCGAUUUUCAUUUCCAAUUAAGGACCUACCAAAGGUAGUCCAGCUUGUGCCGCCUAAGUGCCUGUGGUAGCCCGACAUCCCUACUCUUGGAAUGUGUCUGUCCCACUCGACCCCGUAGGCUUCUCAAUACCGCACGAGCGAACAUAAGUCGCGUAGGCUAACUCCGAAGUGCCGGCUUGUAGGGAGCGACCCUCACAAGCAUGUGCGAAUGAGCACAAAUGGCAAGCAAGCAUAGUCAACGUCUCAAAUACCCAAUCAUCAUGUCUCUAACAUGGCAAUAUUCACUAGCAUCUCGAAGAUCUAGUUCUAGCUCACAAUGUGAAAUUCUAAUAUUCACUAAGUCUAGUGCCUCUUUAUGACACUUAGACAUUUCGAUGAACAAGCACACUCCAACUCUCUCAAUGGCACUAUCCACUAAAUUCACACAUAACCCGAGCUCGAUGCCCCUUUAUGAUAUUAGCUCAAUUGUACACAAGUAGUGCAAAUCCCCGAGCCCUUUUAUGGCUCACUAGGAACUUUUAAAUCUUGAAUAGAAAUAACUUUAAAUGCAUGCAUGAGAUGUUCGUUUUUACCAUAGAAAUUAUGAUUCCAAGUCUCAAUAGGAUGCUAAACCUGUUCAAGUUCCACAUGCUAGCUCUCUACUACAUAGAGGUCCGAAAUUUUCACCACAUGUAACGUAGGCAAAUUAAGCCUUCUAAAAAUCAUAAUAAAUGUAUCUAGCAUGGAAAUACAUGAAUAAACAUUUAACAGUACUCAAAUCAACACCAAUGAGAUUUUCUCAUUGUGUGGCUAGGCCAAACCCACCGAACCGUAGCGUGCUCCUUCGAUUCGCCGAACGGAGUUGUCCACGAGUCUCAAAGUACCCUAAAAGUGAUCAGCGAAGAGAUACGAGGGCAUUACGACCAACCAUAAGAUCAAACUUUAACUUAGAAGCAAAAAGGGCCAAAACUCACCUCAAGGAAAGAAAUCUCUUCCAAAGCUCCAAAAGAGAGCUAGAGCCCUUCCAAUUCAAGCCCGAGGAAGGUUCUAAACCAAUCAAUCUAGCCUCAAAAGCCCUAGAUCAAAAAGCCCCAAAAUCAACCCUAAAUCUCAUUUCUAGGGUUUCAUCUUCCAAAAAUCACCAAAACGAGAAUCUAUAGGAAGAAACAUGUUACUAACCCUUUAGAAGCUUCAAUCCAAGCUCAAAAUGCCCAAGGGUUGAAGUUUGGUCCACCACUAAGCUCCAAGGGCAAGCUCCAAGUCCUCUACAAGCUCUUCUUCUCCUUCCUUCUCCUUCCUCUCCCACUCUUUCUCUCUCUAGAAGUAAAAGAAAUGGUGAAAUGAGGAAGGGGAGAAGGAGAAGUGGCCAUAUAAGCCUUCUCUUGUAACAAAAUCCUGUGAGGCACCUCAAAAAUUCAAUAUUACAUCAGCCCGGUCUGGGCAGUUUUCACCCAGAGGGACCGGUCUCUCCCCAGCAGGGACCGGUCUCUCGCUGCGAACUCGAAAAACCAACGUUCGGGAACCGGCCUCUCCCUGCGCGGGACCGGUCUCUCACUGCGUAGAUGCGCUCGGGGACCGGUCUCGCCCGCCGGGGACCAGUCUCGCCCGCCAGGGACCAGUUGCCUCACGGCUGCCGCAACACUGCUCACUGGGGGACCGGUCUCUCCUUCCAGGGACCGGUCCCCGAGAGUAAAAACUCUCAGGACUUGCCCAGAAUUCCAGUUUUCGAACUUUUUAGGUCGGAAAACAUUCAACAACCCUCCACCAAGUAUGGAAAAGCUCGAAAUAUAUUCAAACACUCGAACCUCGCAAUUUGCAAAGGUCCAGUGUGCUAUAUACUUGGUCAACCAAUUCAUGCCCAACACAACAUCAAACUUCCCGAGUUUAUGCAAAGCUAACAAGUCCACGGGCAUGAUCCAAUCUCCAACCCGAAUAGGGCAACUGGGGCAAAACUCCCGAAUGUCCAAAGAAUGAUCGGGUACAACAACUCGGCCCGGAUGUAACAAGGAUACAAGUGGGAUGCCAUGCAGCUCGGCAAACAGCCGAUCAAUGAAUGAAUGCGAUGCACCGGUAUCAAACAAUGUUCUAACUCGAAUAGUGAGGACCGCACAAGAAGCACACAAGAAGCACCUGCCCCGACUGCGUGAAAACUGCCGCGGGUAGUGAGGACCGCCACAGAUCACGCAGCGAGGGGCCUGGCGUCGAUCGGGUCCUCCUCGCUGGGUAGACUAGCCGCGUCCUCGCGACUGGCUCCUGCUCCUGGGAUGUCUCGGCGGCCUCCGUGAGUGCGUCUGACUCGCACCCUCAGCCGCUGGCCUCUUGCCCUUGCCCUUAUCUAGGGCCUCGCGUCGCUCCUUAAGAUCUGCCGCUCCUGCCUCCACUAUGAAUGCUCGAUCCACAACCUCCCGAUAGGUCUGGAGGUUGGAAGACUGCACCAACCGGAAGAUAGAAGGCCGCAAACCGCGCUCAAAGAUGCGUGUCUUGUCCUCGUCGUCCCGCACCACAAAAGGCACACAAUGAAGUAUCCGGGAGAACUCCCUCUCGUACUCAGUCACUGACCGCUCAUCCUGGCGCAAAUUGCGCAAAUCCUGCUCCAUCUUCCUCUUGAUGCUAGUAGGAAAGUGGUGCACCAGAAGAAGCUCCUUGAACCUCGUCCAAGUAAUCGCUGCCAAGUCGGUGUUGGGGUUGUCCUGGAUAUCCAACCACCAACGGUAGGCCUCGCCGUCCAGAAAGUGAGUGGCGAGCCAAACUCUGUCUCGCUCCUCUACAAAGGUGUCUCGAAACAGCUUCUCCAUAUGCAUCAACCACUUCUCAACAAUCCAGUGGUCGACGUUCUCGCCAUCAAACGUCCUCGGGCUGCACCUCCUGAACUCACUGAGGCGCUCCAUAAGCCGAUCCCGCUCGGCACCCUCGGCCAUCACGGGGAAUGCUGCCCCUGCCACCGGUCUCUGAACAGGUAGUGCCGUAACCACCUCCUCCCGAGGUGCGGUCGCCGGUGCCGCACGUGAAGAGCUGGGCGCGGGGGACUGCGUCCUCGGUGCGAUGUCCACCACGGGUGCUGGCGGUGUGGGACCCUGGGUCUCCCUCAAAGCUGCCGCCUGCUGAAGUAGGAGGUCCUCAAGAUGCUUCAUCCGCGCCUCCUACCGCUGAGCCACCUCAGCCUGUUGCUGCGCCGCUGCCGUCUGCUGCGCCAACAGAUCAGUGAGAACCGCAAACUGGGCCCUCAAGUUACGGACCUCACUAGAUCCGGAAGUAGCGGAGGUCUCGACCUCCUCGGGGUGUGCCGCAUCAUCCGCCCCGGCAGACUGGGAGCGUGUAAUCGGUAUCGUCACUACAAAAUAUAAAAGCGCAAGUUAGUAACCCACGCUAUCGCAUUCCCGCUCAAAAUAGAUAAAACCCGAAUCAUGCGAAAGUAAGGAAGUGUCCUUCACUACUAACUCCCGAUGUUACGUUGUCGGCCGCCAACGUAACCCUCCGCGAAGUUAGAAGCCAUACACUCCGAUCAAACUCUAACUUUUUAGAGUUAUCAUAAACCCAAUCGAAAUACUUUCGCUCACAAUUCAAUUAGACCUCGUCUCUCACGAGCCUAUUUCCUAUAGUCCAACCGGCCUAAGGUUUACUAGGUCCUCUAAGACUCAACCCUAGGCUCUGAUACCAAAUUAAUCUGUCACGCCCCGGAACCGGCGGAGGCCCUCCCGGUAGCGUGCCCAGACCCGCUAUAUGUCUACACAUAUAAGGCGUCUACAAUAAAAGCGGAAGUAAAGCAAGAGAUAGAACAAAUAGAAUAAGUAGAAUAACUAGCAACUAAUGAUAUCAGAGCAAGUAAAGUUCUAUCAUCUAAACCAGAGCAAAAGAAACAUAACUAGACAAUGAUAGAGAAGCAUAAAGUAAUACAAUACUAUCUCCUCAAAAGGGAAACAAAGAUCCAAAAGAAGGGUGGUCUCUACACAUAUACGGGUACAACUCUCAACCUCUCACAAAAAAAAAAAACAACUAGAGGUAGACCACCUAUCGACUCGUCCACGAAGGAAGCUAGCUCGAUGCAACUCCCUUCCCGCGGUCCCUAGCCUCUCCCGGCGUGGAAGGCUCUUAAAGGAAACAUGAAACAGAGGGCGUGAGAACUAUAAUUUAUAGUUCCCAGUGGGCAAUUACUGACCUCAGCUCAAUGCACCACUAAGCCCCCCAAAAAAAAAAGGGGUAAGUAACGACAAUAGUAAGCAAUGAGUAAACUUUAUUUACGAAAGCAUAAUUAAAAGCUAUACUAAUGCAUUGCAAUUACAUAUGGCAUUUAUAUAAUGCACCUUUAUAUUGUCAUGAAUAUUAUGCCUCAAUAUGACCACAAGUAAUAAUCAUUAUUUGCUUUAUGAAGUUAUGAAGAUCAUGCUUGAUCAUGGCAACAAUGUAUAUAUGAAUGCGAUAAGCACAUCUCCUGGCAUGCUACAUGUAUGUAUGUAUAUCCAAGUACCCAAAACUAUGCUAGAAGCAAGUCCAAGUAAUCCAACUACUAUUCUCUAUCUAGUAGUGAUCAUAAUAAACUCAACACCGUGUCGAUUUUCCAUUUCCAAUUAAGGACCUACCAAAGGUAGUCCAGCUUGUGCCGCCUAAGUGCCUGUGGUAGCCCAACAUUCCUACUUUUGGAAUGUGUCUGUCCCACUCGACCCCGUAGGCUUCUCAAUACCGCACGAGCGAACAUAGGUCGCGUAGGCUAUCUCCGAAGUGUCGGCUUGUAGGGAGCGACCCUCACAAGUAUGUGCGAAUGAGCACAAAUGGCAAGCAAGCAUAGUCCAAGUCUCAAGUAUCCAAUCCUUAUGUCUCUAACAUGGUAUCGUCACUAG
This 13809-nucleotide long non-coding RNA is filed under the name Ananas comosus (pineapple). RNAcentral's name for it is "long non-coding RNA (ACOM_LNC034963)". The record is from RNAcentral. Lineage: Eukaryota; Viridiplantae; Streptophyta; Magnoliopsida; Poales; Bromeliaceae.